AAAAUAGUAAUAAUAAUAAUAAUAAUAAUUU
Molecule: unclassified non-coding RNA, 31 nt
Filed under: Trypanosoma grosi
Lineage: Eukaryota; Euglenozoa; Kinetoplastea; Trypanosomatida; Trypanosomatidae
Source: RNAcentral